Molecule: ribosomal RNA, 465 nt
Filed under: uncultured bacterium
Lineage: Bacteria
Description: partial 16S ribosomal RNA
Rfam family: Bacterial small subunit ribosomal RNA
Source: RNAcentral
GACGAACGCUGGCGGCGUGCUUAACACAUGCAAGUCGAACGGAAAGGCCCUGCUUGCCGGGUACUCGAGUGGCGAACGGGUGAGUAACACGUGGGUGAUCUGCCCUGCACUUCGGGAUAAGCCUGGGAAACUGGGUCUAAUACCGGAUAGGAGCCAUUCUUAGUGUGAUGGUUGGAAAGUUUUUUCGGUGUAGGAUGAGCUCGCGGCCUAUCAGCUUGUUGGUGGGGUAAUGGCCUACCAAGGCGGCGACGGGUAGCCGGCCUGGGAGGGUGGACGGCCACAUUGGGACUGGGAUACGGCCCAGACUCCUACGGGAGGCAGCAGUGGGGAAUAUUGCACAAUGGGCGCAAGCCUGAUGCAGCGACGCCGCGUGGGGGAUGACGGCCUUCGGGUUGUAAACUCCUUUCGCUAGGGACGAAGCUUUUUGUGACGGUACCUAGAUAAGAAGCACCGGCUAACUACGUG